This 518-nucleotide ribosomal RNA is filed under the name uncultured bacterium. RNAcentral's name for it is "bacterial SSU rRNA". It matches the Rfam family "Bacterial small subunit ribosomal RNA", at positions 791 to 1314 of the family's 1533-position model. The record is from RNAcentral.
UAGUCUACGCCGUAAACGAUGGAUACUAGCUGUUCGGAACUUGCUUCUGAGUGGCCAAGCGAAAGUGAUAAGUAUCCCACCUGGGGAGUACGUUCGCAAGAAUGAAACUCAAAGGAAUUGACGGGGGCCCGCACAAGCGGUGGAGCAUGUGGUUUAAUUCGAUGAUACGCGAGGAACCUUACCAGGGCUUAAAUGCACUAUGACAGGGGUAGAGAUACCCUUUUCUUCGGACAGAGUGCAAGGUGCUGCAUGGUUGUCGUCAGCUCGUGCCGUGAGGUGUCAGGUUAAGUCCUAUAACGAGCGCAACCCUUGCCGUCAGUUGCCAGCAGGUAAAGCUGGGGACUCUGACGGGACUGCCGGUGCAAACCGAGAGGAAGGUGGGGACGACGUCAAAUCAUCACGGCCCUUACGUCCUGGGCUACACACGUGCUACAAUGGCCGGUACAAUGAGCAGCCACGCCGUAAGGCGGAGCGAAUCUAAAAAACCGGUCACAGUUCGGAUCGGGGUCUGCAACUCG